This 1503-nucleotide long non-coding RNA is filed under the name Zostera marina. RNAcentral's name for it is "long non-coding RNA (ZMAR_LNC002013)". Lineage: Eukaryota; Viridiplantae; Streptophyta; Magnoliopsida; Alismatales; Zosteraceae. The record is from RNAcentral.
AGAUGUUGAUAAAGAAGUGGCUCUGACGGCUCUGCGUAGAUUUUCGCUGAGAUAGUAGCAUAGUUUUCCGCGAAAUGCCAUGUUGAAGCAGCGAUGAUUAAGGUUUAGAAUUUAAAGAAAUGCACGUCACGCCGUAAGAACGCACGUCGUCGGAGGAAGGAGUUCGUCAGAGGCAAUAACAGAGUGUAGGGUUAGGUGCAUUUGCAUAACAUAUGUGAGAAACCGAAAGUUGUACUUCAACUACGAUUCAAGUCACUGUCUUUCAACCCUAAAGAGUUAGGUGAAUUACAAGCUCAAAAUAAUUGGAUUCAAUGGUGUUUGCAGUCUGCACUUUGAAACCCUAAUCUAGUGGCCUCGCCGGAAAACGUAUCCAGUUGGGUCUUCGGCUAUCUCCAAUUCUCAGGUCGGUGGGUAUUGAUUAAAACGUGGUAAAAGAGAACCUUAGCAUCGUCAUUUUUUCUGUUUCAAAGUUUGGGUUUUGAAAGAUUAUCGACCGAUUUGGUUCAAGAUUUAAGGGUUUUUUCUUUGAAUACAAGAUAAUGAGCAAAUAUUGGUAAAUAUGAGAAAUUUCGUAAAAUAUUACUAGAUUUUUUGUCUUUUGUAAAUCGUAUCUCAAGAAAAACGGACGGUUGAGAUCAAAUAUCUUAUGAGUAUCUCAUAUGAAGUUGGUCCAAUAUAUAUAGGAUUAGUGAUGAAAAUCGAAAUAUCCCACCAGCAUUCGUGGUGGUGCGAAUGGACGUCUUCUCGUGUCGGAGGCUUUGGAAUCCACAAAAGUCGCUCUACAUCAAGUCUUCAGUAGAGAAUCGACGAUUUGGGUGUCAAAUCGACGAUUUGGGUGUCAAAUCGACGAUUUGGGUGUCAAAUCGACGAUUUGGGUGUCAAAUCGACGAUUUGGGUGUCAAAUCGACAAUUGCUCCGUAAAUGUCGUUUUGGAAGGUGUGGAACUGAUGUCUUAGAUGUCCUCCGGAAGUCUUCUUACCGUAGCGAUGGAUUGACUUCUUACCGUAGCGACAGAAAAUUAUAUUUAGAUCCGCAACGACGGAUGAUCCAUAGCAAUGAAUUGAUUUCUGGUUGCAGCGACAUGAAUUUUAUAUUUAGAUAUGCACCGACGGAUGAUCCAUAACGAUGGAUUGGUUUCUGUCCGUAGCGAUAGAAAUUUUUUAUUUGAUCUGCAACGACAAAUUGAUUUAUGGUCGUAGCGACAGACUUUUUUUAUUUAGAUUUGUAACGACGGAUUCGUUUUAGACAUAACGAAUAUUUGCAAAACAAAGAAAAAACUGAUAUCCGUAGCGACGGAUUCGGUCUAGCCAUAGCGAUAAAACGAUACUCUGCAAACAAAGAAAAAACUGAUAUCUAUAGCAACGAAUUCAUUUAGCCAUAGCGAUAAAACCAUACCUGCAAAAGAGAAAAAACAUACAAGUCAAAAGUAUUGAAAUAAUUGAAAUUUUUUAUAAUAUGAUUUGACUUUUAUGUUACUCCUUUCUUUUGCUCAAUAAAUAUCCU